GAUGAAGAACGUAGCGAAAUGCGAUAAGUAAUGUGAAUUGCAGAAUUCAGUGAAUCAUCGAAUCUUUGAACGCACCUUGCGCCCUUUGGCUAUUCCGAAGGGCAUGCCUGUUUGAGUAUCAUGAACACCUCAACUCUUCACGGCUUGCCGUGAUGAGUUUGGACUUUGGGGGUCUUGCUGGCCUACGAGCCAGCUCCUCUCAAAUGUAUUAGCUUGCCGGUGUUUGGUGGCAUCACAGGUGUGAUAACUAUCUACGCUUGUGGUUUUCCACUAGGUAACCUUCAGCAAUGGAGGUUCACCGGAGCUCACAAAUGUCUCUCCUUGCAAGGACAGAUUUUGACCAUUUGAUCUCAAAUCAGGUAGGACUACCCGCUGAACUUAAGCAUAUCAAUAAGCGGAGGA
RNAcentral lists this unclassified non-coding RNA (402 nucleotides) under soil metagenome. RNAcentral describes it as "partial contains 5.8S ribosomal RNA, internal transcribed spacer 2, and large subunit ribosomal RNA". The stretch from base 1 to 121 matches the Rfam family "5.8S ribosomal RNA", at positions 35 to 154 of the family's 154-position model. The record is from RNAcentral.